CGUCGUGGGGAUCUGUCAUCCCCUUCAAAACAACUUCAAUUUAUCCCGCUGUCAAUCAUCGGGAGAAGGACAGUCCGCACUGCCUUACCUAGCGAUAAUUAAGUGUUUUGGGACCAUGUGGGGCAUUUAUAAAAGAUGGAGCAACUUAUUCUCACUGCCAUACCGCCCGAAAUGGAAAUACUGGUUAUGCUUUUAUCAGACGAGGCAUAAACGUUUUCUGUGGGGUAAACUGUGAGGCUCCUUUGGGCCAUUAGAGGACUUCUGGCGCAGUAACAGGUGACGAACACGGGGAACAACUUAAACGAUCGGCCAUCAUCGAGCAACAGAUGGAGGUGCACAACAGGAUAUUACCACUAAGAGGAUUCCUCUUUCCUUGCCUGUCACUCUGGACUUUUUUUGAGGGGACAGACUCUUUCAUCGUGACCCAGCUCGACUGGCUUACUGGAACUGGUGUAGAGUUGUUGGUUAAGCCCUCUGAAACCCGCCACUACUCAUGUUGACCUGCUUGGCAAACAGAAAUCCCCGAUCAAGUCUGCUGUGAAUAACAUUAAAAUAAGUAACCAGGUGGGAUUAGAAAGUCCUCAUAGAGUCUUGAGUCUCUGAACUCUGACCUUCCACUCAGAACUGAGAAGUAUGUGCCAGCUCUCAGUGAGUGAAUGGCCUGGUGUCAAGUUUACUCAGCAGUACUAUAGUAAUACCCUUAGAGGAGGCGGCAUGCUGUUAGGAUUUCAUUUGUAGGGAUUAUGGUAAAGUGAUUUUUUUUAACGCAAACAACAUAUUACAGUCAGAGUUAAAGAUAAUUUUGUUACUUACAAAGAUUUGAGUGAAUUAAGUAAAAAUCUAUUUAUUUUUAUAUUUUCUAUCGUAUCUGGAGGUGAGCGGUGUCUCCCAGUAAUGGAUAUGGACACCAUCUUCGAUAUUUUCCAGCCACCACAGUCUUGAUAACAUCAUGACAACUGAGUGAUGAAACAGCUGUGUAGACAUGAAAUCUAAUGAUUAUGAAAAAGGAUUUAUUGAAAGCAUUUUGGUGGUAUGUAGUGCUUCGGUAGUUGCAGGGUUCUUAAAAAAUAAUGUAAGAUUUGAUGAGGUUGUAACAAGUACAAGUAAGUAAUAGUCUGUGAUUGUGUUGAGUUGCACUUUGUUGCAUUUAGGUCACUUUAUUUGAACUUUUUCUGUAUGCUGGAGGUUAGUUGUGGUAUUUUUGAUGUGUCAAACAUCUUGAUAAUGUACUUUAAAUAGAUGCAGGUGCUUCAGUCAUACAGGAUUCGCUUUUUAUCAGAGUACAGAAGGAGUGCCCAGUCUUUGGGAAUACGAGACUGCAUGGAAAGCAAAAAAGAUUCAGGGCGGCAACUUGAUUCCUUCUAUAAACUUUACUGUGCCAAUGCAUUUCAAAGAACUGCCUCUUUCCUCGGGGUGCAUAAAGCAUAUUGACCCUAGUAGUAUGACUAUCACUAUGCACUACCCUCGCAGGUGAAAGUGAUUGAGGUUGCCUGGCCACAGUUUACAUUAGGGUUGUGAGUUUGGUUCAUUCAUGUUUUGUAUGAGGAAGGAGACUCUGAAAGGCUUUGGCACAACAUAAUACACUUUUAUUGAAGGGCUCAAAUUGCAAUCCUUGAUGUUUUUUUACUUUCCAGGCGGUCUUUAAAGUGGUGUUGCAUAAUGCACCUGUUUUAUAAAUCGAUUGCAGUCGUGAUGGUAGUCUUUUGAGCUUUCUCAUGAUUGUUUUUUUUUUUUACAUCGGCAUGGUUGUGGGGAAUAUAUUUUUAUGUUUUUUCUAAAUUGUAUUGCUAUUAAAUGGCACCUUGUUUUACAGUCAUGUAUAUUUUAUGAGAGGAUAUCCAAUAUACCGUAUGGUUUUGCUUGCAUUACUGGUUUUGAGUUCUUGUGCUCACAUUACAAAUUAAAAGAAAUAUUCAGAGUAGUGUGGUAAUUCAGACUAUCACAGGAGUUUUUACAGUCAUUUCCUAUUUAAUUUUAUAUUUGAAUUUUAUAAGUGAAAGUUUUGCCUCUCUGAAUCCAUUAGUAUAUUACUUGUGUGUAUUAACAUCAAUAUUUUUCAAGCCAUGUUGUGUAAGUGAUUUUAUAUGACGACUGGACUGUAAAGGUAACACAUGCACCAUUCAAGAAAGAUCUAAUAAAAAUCCUGCAGUCAUU
Molecule: long non-coding RNA, 2154 nt
Organism: Thunnus maccoyii (southern bluefin tuna)
Lineage: Eukaryota; Metazoa; Chordata; Actinopteri; Scombriformes; Scombridae
Exons: 2
Source: RefSeq, a predicted model, not a curated record